UCGGUCUUGCUGCACCCUUGUCUUUUGCGUACCGUAUGUUUCCUCGGCGGGCUUGCCYGCCGGUUGGACAUUAUCAAACCUUUUUGUAGUUGCAAUCAGCGUCAGAAAACAAACAAUAAUUACAACUUUCAACAACGGAUCUCUUGGUUCUGGCAUCGAUGAAGAACGCAGCGAAAUGCGAAAAGUAGUGUGAAUUGCAGAAUUCAGUGAAUCAUCGAAUCUUUGAACGCACAUUGCGCCCCUUGGUAUUCCAUGGGGCAUGCCUGUUCGAGCGUCAUUUUGUACCCUCAAGCACUGCUUGGUGUUGGGCGUUUGUCCUGCAAAGGACUCGCCUGAAAGCGAUUGGCGGCCAACGUACUGGUGGUAGAGCGCAGCACAAUUUGCGUCUCUCCCUUCUACGUCGGCGUCCAUGAAGCCUUUUUUCAACGUUUGACCUCGGAUCAGGUAGGGAUACCCGCUGAACUUAAGCAUAUCAAUAGSCSG
This 483-nucleotide ribosomal RNA is filed under the name Leptosphaeria sp. P2 MLB-2013. Its description in RNAcentral is "eukaryotic LSU rRNA". The stretch from base 124 to 277 matches the Rfam family "5.8S ribosomal RNA". Lineage: Eukaryota; Fungi; Ascomycota; Dothideomycetes; Pleosporales; Leptosphaeriaceae. The record is from RNAcentral.